RNAcentral lists this ribosomal RNA (497 nucleotides) under uncultured bacterium. RNAcentral describes it as "partial 16S ribosomal RNA". It matches the Rfam family "Bacterial small subunit ribosomal RNA", at positions 28 to 507 of the family's 1533-position model. The record is from RNAcentral.
GACGAACGCUGGCGGCGUGCGUAAUACAUGCAAGUUGAGCGCUGAAGGUUGGUACUUGUACCAACUGGAUGAGCAGCGAACGGGUGAGUAACGCGUGGGGAAUCUGCCUUUGAGCGGGGGACAACAUUUGGAAACGAAUGCUAAUACCGCAUAAAAACUUUAAACACAAGUUUUAAGUUUGAAAGAUGCAAUUGCAUCACUCAAAGAUGAUCCCGCGUUGUAUUAGCUAGUUGGUGAGGUAAAGGCUCACCAAGGCGAUGAUACAUAGCCGACCUGAGAGGGUGAUCGGCCACAUUGGGAAUGGGCCACGGCCCAAACUCCUACGGGAGGCAGCAGUAGGGAAUCUUCGGCAAUGGACGAAAGUCUGACCGAGCAACGCCGCGUGAGUGAAGAAGGUUUUCGGAUCGUAAAACUCUGUUGGUAGAGAAGAACGUUGGUGAGAGUGGAAAGCUCAUCAAGUGACGGUAACUACCCAGAAAGGGACGGCUAACUACGUG